This 1515-nucleotide long non-coding RNA is filed under the name Heterocephalus glaber (naked mole-rat). RNAcentral's name for it is "lncRNA (ENSHGLG00100045398.1)". Lineage: Eukaryota; Metazoa; Chordata; Mammalia; Rodentia; Bathyergidae. The record is from RNAcentral.
CUCUUCUCUGUGAAGAGAAGUACUUCAUCUUUAUUAUAGUUAGAGCAUGGGAGAAAAAGAUAAGUAGGUUAGAAGAAAUCAACUCAAAGUUUAACAAAUUCCUAAAGGCCAAGUGUGGGCUACCAUGUCCACUUAGAAUGUCUCAGAGUCCCUGGAAAAUGAACACCUACCAAAUUCUCACAAGAAAAACAAGGACCAAGUUAGGAGACCUGAAAGAAACCUCUUGGUGAGGGAAACGUGUGACUUUUCCAAAGCCACAAUCACUUCCCCAAGCCUUUCUCUUGAAAAUCUUAAGCUGCUAGAGCAGUAAAAGCAAGUUGUGUUACUUCCAAGGCUCAGGAAAAUUUCCACUGCAUGUUGUAGAAUUCUGGCAGCAUAUAAGGAAAGAAUGGGAAAUGGAUAAAAGCACUGACCCUGGAUGUCAGGUGUGGUGUAUGCCUGUAAUCCCAACAGUCAGGAGGCUGAGGCAGGAGGAUCAUUAAGAGUUUGGAGCCAUCCUGUGCUACAUAGUUCAAGAACAACGUAGGGAAAAAAUGGCAGAGUGGUGAUCAGUAGCAAAAUUCAGCCUCUCUAAGAUCUAGAAUCCAGACACUGGAAAAUAACAACUUGUCCAUGAAAAAAAAAAAGGCAAAUCUCUGGGAGUCAGGAAGGAACUGACAGGAAAAAUUAGAAGCUACAGGGAAGUUGGAAAGAUGGUCCACAAUGUAGAGAAGAGACCUCUCAGCUUACAGGGAGGGAACUGGGCUCCCCAGAAGCAAAGUAAGUGCCUAGGGCUAGGAGAAAGAGCGGCAUAACUCCGUUGUGAACUGCAAAAACAGCAUGGGAUUUUGCUCCAAGUGUACUCCUUUUACAGACAGGAAACGGCUGGAGAGGGAUUCAAGUGUGGAUGGCCACCAUUUUGACAGUGCUUGAUCACUUGCCAUUAUAGGAAGAGACUGAGUAUUUAAAUCUGGGACUCAGAACAACUAAAAACCAACUUGACUCCAGGGCUCCCAGUGUUACCCUCCCACAGUAACUGGGCAAAAGAUAGCACUGGACAGGGAACAGGCUAGAAAGUGAUUCCCUGAGAUGUUUAAACUCAGGUCAGGGAAGACAUAUGCCCCAUCAUCCACAAUAAGAAGCCAGGACUGGCUUGAGUUGCACUCAGGUGCUUGGACAUGGGAUAGAAACAAAGGACUAUACUUAUCCUGAGUGCAUCACUGAAAAGUAGACUAAAGAGAUAUCCAUACUACCAACUUAUAGUGUUUCCACUAUAAGUGACCACAUACCUGCCAUGAAACAAACAACAACAGAAACAUGAGAAGACAGGGCAACAAAAUGCCUCCCAAAACUCCCAAUUCCACCAAAACCAAACCAUGGAGCACUGAGGGCGAGGAAAGGGAAAGCCCCACAAAGUAUUCAAAAAGAUUACAGAGGAGAUUAAAUAAACAUCAAUGAGGAGCUUUGUGUGCUCACAGAAAACAGAACUAAUUAGAAAAUAGAGAUAAUAAAACAAUCAGAGCUUAGAGGAGACAC